This 481-nucleotide ribosomal RNA is filed under the name uncultured bacterium. Its description in RNAcentral is "bacterial SSU rRNA". It matches the Rfam family "Bacterial small subunit ribosomal RNA", at positions 28 to 507 of the family's 1533-position model. The record is from RNAcentral.
GACGAACGCUGGCGGCGUGCCUAAUACAUGGCAAGUCGAGCGGACCCUUCGGGGUUAGCGGCGACGGGUGAGUAACACGUGGGUAAUCUGCCCAACUGACUGGAAUAACGCCUGGAAACGGGUGCUAAUGCCGGAUAGGCAACUGGUAGGCAUCUACCGGUUGGGAAAGGUGCAACUGCACCGCAGAUGGAGGAGCCCGCGGCGCAUUAGCUAGUUGGUGGGGUAACGGCCUACCAAGGCGACGAUGCGUAGCCGACCUGAGAGGGUGGACGGCCACACUGGGACUGAGACACGGCCCAGACUCCUACGGGAGGCAGCAGUAGGGAAUCUUCCGCAAUGGGCGCAAGCCUGACGGAGCAACGCCGCGUGAGCGAAGAAGGCCUUCGGGUUGUAAAGCUCAGUCACUCGGGAAGAGCGGACGAGGGAGUGGAAAGCCCUCGUCGAGACGGUACCGAGAGAGGAAGCCCCGGCUAACUACGUG